This 534-nucleotide long non-coding RNA is filed under the name Rattus norvegicus (Norway rat). RNAcentral describes it as "long non-coding RNA NONRATT031784". The record is from RNAcentral. Lineage: Eukaryota; Metazoa; Chordata; Mammalia; Rodentia; Muridae.
UCUACAACUUGAUGGAUUUUUUUUCUACCAGGUAAGGAUAGAGACGUUAAACUCUCUGAGAAAAUUCCAACUGCAUGAACACUUCCCAAAGAAGCUGGAAGCUCCUGAAGAGAAAGCUGUGUGCGAAUAUGAACAAGUUUCUUUCUACCCAUGCCCUUGGCUCAACAUUUGGGAUGUCAUUGAACUUCAGAGGGACUUCUCUUCUUUGGUUUUAUCAUGAAUCCUGGAAUGAAAGCCAGCUGCCGGUAAGUCUUUAUGCCAGCUCAGCAAAAUCAUCAGUCUUCAAUAGCUCCAUUCAACAGUAUUCCUUUUGCUAGGAAAAAUAUUGAGGAACCAAUAUUGAGAUUAAAGGUUGUCCUUGGGGCCAAACAUCUAGUAUCUGGUUGGAACACAUAAAGAUUUAUUUUGUAUUUUUAUUUAUGAAAUGUAUGUGUCCCUGCAUGAAUUUAUGUGCACCGUGUGUGUACAAGAGCCAGAGGAUGUCAAAUACUCUAUAACUGGAAUUAGAGAUAGUUGUGACGUGCCUGAUAUGGG